CCAGACUCCUACGGGAGGCAGCAGUAGGGAAUCUUCGGCAAUGGACGAAAGUCUGACCGAGCAACGCCGCGUGAGUGAAGAAGGUUUUCGGAUCGUAAAACUCUGUUGGUAGAGAAGAACGUUGGUGAGAGUGGAAAGCUCAUCAAGUGACGGUAACUACCCAGAAAGGGACGGCUAACUACGUGCCAGCAGCCGCGGUAAUACGUAGGUCCCGAGCGUUGUCCGGAUUUAUUGGGCGUAAAGCGAGCGCAGGUGGUUUAUUAAGUCUGGUGUAAAAGGCAGUGGCUCAACCAUUGUAUGCAUUGGAAACUGGUAGACUUGAGUGCAGGAGAGGAGAGUGGAAUUCCAUGUGUAGCGGUGAAAUGCGUAGAUAUAUGGAGGAACACCGGUGGCGAAAGCGGCUCUCUGGCCUGUAACUGACACUGAGGCUCGAAAGCGUGGGGAGCAAACAGGAUUAGAUACCCUGGUAGUCCACGCCGUAAACGAUGAGUGCUAGAUGUAGGGAGCUAUAAGUUCUCUGUAUCGCAGCUAACGCAAUAAGCACUCCGCCUGGGGAGUACGACCGCAAGGUUGAAACUCAAAGGAAUUGACGGGG
Molecule: ribosomal RNA, 595 nt
Filed under: uncultured bacterium
Lineage: Bacteria
Description: bacterial SSU rRNA
Rfam family: Bacterial small subunit ribosomal RNA
Source: RNAcentral